UACGGAGGGGGCUAGCGUUGUUCGGAAUCACUGGGCGUAAAGCGCACGCAGGCGGAUUGAUAAGUCAGGGGUGAAAUCCCGGAGCUCAACUUCGGAAUUGCCUUUGAUACUGUCUGUCUUGAGUCCGGGAGAGGUGAGUGGAAUUCCUAGUGUAGAGGUGAAAUUCGUAGAUAUUAGGAAGAACACCAGUGGCGAAGGCGACUACCUGGCCUGUUUCUUGACGCUGAGGCGCGAAAGCUAGGGGAGCAAACGGG
Molecule: ribosomal RNA, 254 nt
Filed under: uncultured bacterium
Lineage: Bacteria
Description: partial 16S ribosomal RNA
Rfam family: Bacterial small subunit ribosomal RNA
Source: RNAcentral